Molecule: ribosomal RNA, 428 nt
Filed under: Mycobacteriaceae bacterium Ellin7023
Lineage: Bacteria; Bacillati; Actinomycetota; Actinomycetes; Mycobacteriales; Mycobacteriaceae
Description: bacterial SSU rRNA
Rfam family: Bacterial small subunit ribosomal RNA
Source: RNAcentral
GACGAACGCGGGCGGCGUGCUUAACACAUGCAAGUCGAACGGAAAGGCCUCUUCCGGAGGUACUCGAGUGGCGAACGGGUGAGUAACACGUGGGCAAUCUGCCCUGCACUUCGGGAUAAGCCUGGGAAACUGGGUCUAAUACCGGAUAGGACCUUAAGACGCAUGUCUUUUGGUGGAAAGCUUUUGCGGUGUGGGAUGGGCCCGCGGCCUAUCAGCUUGUUGGUGGGGUGACGGCCUACCAAGGCGACGACGGGUAGCCGGCCUGAGAGGGUGUCCGGCCACACUGGGACUGAGAUACGGCCCAGACUCCUACGGGAGGCAGCAGUGGGGAAUAUUGCACAAUGGGCGCAAGCCUGAUGCAGCGACGCCGCGUGGGGGAUGACGGCCUUCGGGUUGUAAACCUCUUUCACCAUCGACGAAGGUCCGGG